This 541-nucleotide long non-coding RNA is filed under the name Cavia porcellus (domestic guinea pig). RNAcentral describes it as "lncRNA (ENSCPOG00000032761.1)". The record is from RNAcentral. Lineage: Eukaryota; Metazoa; Chordata; Mammalia; Rodentia; Caviidae.
AGAGGGCCCACGCCUAUUCCUCUCAGUAUUUCGUCUGAGUCCGCCGAAAGGGCUGCUCCAAUAAGUAAUUCUCCCACGUCCAGAUGCAGUUUUAGAACUAUACCUCAAUGCAGAGUGUAGCGCCGGAGUUGAGCCUCCACUGCAACCCUAGCUCGCCACUCACACCAUAACCGUAACCCCCGGAGCUCUCCGACUGGAAGCUGAAUUGAGACGCAAUGCAUUCUGGGUGGGAUGUAGUGGUCGGGGAUGCCGUACCUGGUUUGAUACGUUGGAGUCUGUCCAGGACCUCUCUGCAGAUUCAUUGUGUUCACAGCAUUUGGUUAAGUUGGAUGAGUUCAAAUCUGCCCUGCAUUUCUUCUUUUUGAGGCUCUGGCCCAAGGGGCAGGGUAUGGUUUCCAGGGCAUUUUCUUUUCAUGGUGGAUCGUCAAAGCACAUAACAGAUCAUGCACACAUCCUUAAAAUCUCUGCUCCUAAAUAUGUUAAUAUUAUGUUAACUAAAGAAAGUUACACUAAGCUUAACAUUAACUACACCCACAGAUAG